This 301-nucleotide ribosomal RNA is filed under the name uncultured bacterium. Its description in RNAcentral is "partial 16S ribosomal RNA". It matches the Rfam family "Bacterial small subunit ribosomal RNA", at positions 509 to 807 of the family's 1533-position model. The record is from RNAcentral.
CAGUCGCCGCGGGAAUACAGAGGGUGCGAGCGUUAAUCGGAUUUACUGGGCGUAAAGCGUGCGUAGGUGGUGGUUUAAGUCCGUUGUGAAAGCCCUGGGCUCAACCUGGGAAUUGCAGUGGAUACUGGGUCACUAGAGUGUGGUAGAGGAUAGUGGAAUUUCCGGUGUAGCAGUGAAAUGCGUAGAGAUCGGAAGGAACAUCUGUGGCGAAGGCGACUAUCUGGGCCAACACUGACACUGAGGCACGAAAGCGUGGGGAGCAAACAGGAUUAGAUACCCCUGUAGUCCCUGUCUCUUAUAC